GUUGGUGUUUCUCAGUGGUAGAGCGCAUGCUUUGUAUCUAUGAUGUCCUGGGAUCAAUUCCCCAGCUUCUCCC
This is a non-coding RNA of Dallia pectoralis (Alaska blackfish), 73 nucleotides long. Lineage: Eukaryota; Metazoa; Chordata; Actinopteri; Esociformes; Umbridae. The record is from the annotation of a GenBank genome assembly.